Long non-coding RNA from Cercocebus atys (sooty mangabey), 968 nucleotides. RefSeq lists it as uncharacterized. The record is from RefSeq and is a predicted model, not a curated record. The transcript is spliced from 3 exons. NCBI's taxonomy places the organism in Eukaryota, Metazoa, Chordata, Mammalia, Primates, Cercopithecidae.
CCCAAACAAACAAACAAAAAAACUAAAACGAAAAAAAAAAACCAAAGACAACCAAAUAAAUGCAAAUCAGUGGGCUGAGGGCCCAGCAUGAGAAAGAAGCAUGCCCUCAACUACAUGUAUCCAAAAGAAUGGCAACGGCCUGUGCCCACACCCUCACUCAAAGGCACCCACAUCCUCACUCACAGGCUGCCAGCCUGCACCCACACCCUCACUCACAGGCACCCACACCCUCGCUCACAGGCACCCACACCCUCGCUCACAGGCACCCACACCCUCGCUCACAGGCUGCCAGCCUGCACCCACACCCUCACUCGCAGGCGCCCACACCCUCGCUCACAAGCGCCCACACCCUCACAGGCGCCCACAUCCUCAGAGGCACCCACACCCUCACUCACAGGAACCCACACCCUCACUCACAGGCUGCCAGCCUGCACCCACACCCUCACUCGCAGGCGCCCACACCCUCGCAGGCGCCCACAUCCUCACUCACAGGCGCCUACACCCUCACUCACAGGUGCCCACACCCUGACUCACAGGCACCCACACCCUGACUCACAGGCACCCACACCCUCACAGGUGCCUACACCCUCAUUCACAGGCGCCCACACCCUCACUCACAGGCACCCACACCCUCGCAGGCGCCCACAUCCUCACUCACAGGCACCCACACCCUCGCAGGCGCCCACAUCCUCACUCACAGGCACCUACACCCUCACUCACAGGCACUCACACUGUCACAGGCGCCUACACUCUCACAGGCCGCUCACACCCUCACAGGCACCUACACCCUCACUCACAGGCCGCCCACACCCUCACAGGUGCCCACACCCUCACUCACAGGCGCCCACACCCUCACUCACAGGGGCCCACACCCUCACUCACAGGCGCCCACAUCCUCACUCACAGGCUGCCAGCCUGCACCCACACCCUCACUCACAGGCCGCCCAAACACCACGGCUCCAGGGUGC